This 303-nucleotide ribosomal RNA is filed under the name uncultured bacterium. RNAcentral's name for it is "partial 16S ribosomal RNA". It matches the Rfam family "Bacterial small subunit ribosomal RNA", at positions 507 to 809 of the family's 1533-position model. The record is from RNAcentral.
AGCAGUAGCCGCGGGAAUACGUAGGUGGCAAGCGUUGUCCGGAAUUAUUGGGCGUAAAGGGCUCGCAGGCGGUUUCUUAAGUCUGAUGUGAAAGCCCCCGGCUCAACCGGGGAGGGUCAUUGGAAACUGGGAAACUUGAGUGCAGAAGAGGAGAGUGGAAUUCCACGUGUAGCGGUGAAAUGCGUAGAGAUGUGGAGGAACACCAGUGGCGAAGGCGACUCUCUGGUCUGUAACUGACGCUGAGGAGCGAAAGCGUGGGGAGCGAACAGGAUUAGAUACCCGCGUAGUCCCUGUCUCUUAUAU